RNAcentral lists this ribosomal RNA (303 nucleotides) under uncultured bacterium. Its description in RNAcentral is "partial 16S ribosomal RNA". It matches the Rfam family "Bacterial small subunit ribosomal RNA", at positions 507 to 807 of the family's 1533-position model. The record is from RNAcentral.
AGCAGUCGCCGCGGGAAUACGUAGGGUGCAAGCGUUAAUUGGAAUUACUGGGCGUAAAGCGUGCGCAGGCGGUUGUGUAAGACAGGUGUGAAAUCCCCGGGCUUAACCUGGGAAUUGCAUUUGUGACUGCACGACUAGAGUGUGUCAGAGGGGGGUGGAAUUCCACGUGUAGCAGUGAAAUGCGUAGAUAUGUGGAGGAACACCAAUGGCGAAGGCAGCCCCCUGGGAUAACACUGACGCUCAUGCACGAAAGCGUGGGGAGCAAACAGGAUUAGAUACCCCUGUAGUCCCUGUCUCUUAUAC